Gigantopelta aegis is the source of this 604-nucleotide long non-coding RNA. RefSeq lists it as uncharacterized. The record is from RefSeq and is a predicted model, not a curated record. NCBI's taxonomy places the organism in Eukaryota, Metazoa, Mollusca, Gastropoda, Neomphalida, Peltospiridae. The transcript is spliced from 4 exons.
ACUACCAACAUGACAAAUGUUUCUCCAGCACCGCUGAAAGGGCAAAUGUCUAGGUCCCGGUCUGGGCCUGUUGCUUCCCAGACCGGGACCUUCCACUCGAAGUAUCCACUACCAACAUGGCAAAUGUUUCUCCAGCACCGCUGAAAGGGCAAAUGUCUAGGUCCCGGUCUGGGCCUGUUGCUUCCCAGACCGGGACCUUCCACUAACAUGGCAAAUGUUUCUCCAGGACCGCUGAAAGGGCAAAUGUCUAGGUCCCGGUCUGGGCCUGUUGCUUCCCAGACCGGGUCCUUCCAGUCGAAGUAUCCACUACCAACAUGGCAAAUGUUUCUCCAGCACCGCUGAAAGGGCAAAUGUCUAGGUCCCGGUCUGGGCCUGUUGCUUCCCAGACCGGGUCCUUCCACUCGAAGUACUACCAACAUGGCAAAUGUUUCUCCAGCACCGCUGAAAGGGCAAAUGUCUAGGUCCCGGUCUGGGCCUGUUGCUUCCCAGACCGGGUCCUUCCACUCGAAGUAUCCACUACCAACAUGGAAUUCUUCUCCAGCACCGCUGAAAGGGCAAAUGUCUAGGUCCCGGUCUGGGCCUGUUGCUUCCCAGACCGGGUUCC